CUGAGAGAGUACGGCGGCCAUUUGUCCCAACUGUACCUGAGAAUAAAAAUCAUCAAAUAAAAAUAAUACUGUGGAUUUAUUUCACCGGUCUGGGUGGAGUACACUGUAAAACCGGAUACGUUCAUUUAACUCAAAAAAAAAAACCCUGAGGAAACGAAUGACCUCAAAACGUUUAAGCUGAUAAAUCAAUUUCCGAAUACACUUAAACUUAACAAGUUCGAGCUCAAUUUUUGUUCUAUUUAAGUGUACUUGGCUUAAAGAAAUUGAUUUAUCAACUUAAAAAUUUCGAGGUAAUUAUUAUUAUUAUUAUUAUUAUUAUUAUUUUGAGUUAAAUGAACUUAUCCGGUUUUACAGUGUAGGUUAAACCUAUAAAUAAAUAAAUAAAUAAAUAAAUACUUUUACAAAUAAAGAACACAAAAACAGGCAAAUGUACUCACGUGCUAGCAAGAAUUAUAAAUUCACUCUAAAGAUCCUCCAACCCUUUACUCUCUCUCACACACACACACACACACACACACUCUCACACACACGCACAAAAUAUCUUCCAGAUAAAUAAUGAAAUCAAAUACACACGUUUUCAUUACUCGACACGUGUUAUACUGAAAUAAUUAGCAUUAAACGCGUGUUUCUGAGUUACUGGUUUAUAAAAAAAUAAUUAAAAAAAUAAAAAAUAGUAAAUGAUUUAUGAACGAUUAUAUUAACUAAUCCAUUAUUAUUAUUAUUAUUAUUAUUAUUAUUAUUAUUAUUAUUAUUAUUAUAAAGAAAGACUGAAAAGCAGAGAUCUAAUGAGAAAUAAAUCCAGUGAACAGAGUUCGGACUUCGGGUGGAGGAUGAAGAGUCGAGAUAGCUUCUUUUCUUUUCUUUUCUUUCUUUUCUUUAUUUUUUUAAUAAACAAACUAAUAAAUACAUACAUAAAUAAAUAAAUAACAAAGUCAGGCUCCAGAAUGUUUUUAUAUAGAGCAUUCACACAAAAAGAAAUAAUAAUAAUAAAAAAUCAUAUUAUUAACAUUAACCUAGUCUACAUGUAUAUGUGUGUGUGUGUGUGUGUGUUACACACCUGUGUUGAGAGAUGCAUGGUCAGCACCAGCACCACGAUACACGCCGUUAGAACUUUAAUCAUGAUGAAGUUUCCUCUGUUCUCUGGACACACACACACACACACACACACACACACUUGAAGAUCUGCACCUACUUGAGGUUAUUGCACAGCAGAG
Molecule: long non-coding RNA, 1214 nt
Organism: Ictalurus punctatus (channel catfish)
Lineage: Eukaryota; Metazoa; Chordata; Actinopteri; Siluriformes; Ictaluridae
Source: Ensembl